GACGAACGCUGGCGGCGUGCUUAACACAUGCAAGUCGAACGGAAAGGCCUCUUUCGGGGGGUACUCGCGUGGCGAACGGGUGAGUAACACGUGAGUAACCUGCCCUUGACUUUGGGAUAACUUCAGGAAACUGGGGCUAAUACCGGAUAGGAGCUCCUGCUGCAUGGUGGGGGUUGGGAAGAUUCGGGGGGUGGGGAUGGAUUCGCGGCUUAUCUGCUCGUUGGGGGGGGAGUGGGUUACCAAGGCUUUUUCGGGUAGCCGGCCUGAGAGGGUGACCGGCCACAUUGGGGCUGAGAUACGGCCCAGACACCUACGGGAGGCAGCGGGGGGGAAUAUUGCACAAUGGGUGGAGGCCUGAUGCAGCAACGCCGUGGGCGGGAUGACGGGCUUCGGGGUGGAAACCGCUUUUGCUCAUGACGAAGCUUUGUGUGACGGUAGUGGGUAAAGAAGCACCGGCUAACUACGUG
Molecule: ribosomal RNA, 467 nt
Filed under: uncultured bacterium
Lineage: Bacteria
Description: partial 16S ribosomal RNA
Rfam family: Bacterial small subunit ribosomal RNA
Source: RNAcentral